Mucidula mucida is the source of this 80-nucleotide non-coding RNA. NCBI's taxonomy places the organism in Eukaryota, Fungi, Basidiomycota, Agaricomycetes, Agaricales, Physalacriaceae. The record is from the annotation of a GenBank genome assembly.
GGUUCAAUGGUCUAGUGGUUAUGAUUUCUGUCUUACACAAUCGGCACAGAAGGUCUCCGGUUCGAACCCGGGUUGAACCA